CUAACCGCCCAGCCUACUGAUUGAGGAUGAUCUAGUUUGAUACGGGUCAACUUAGGUGUGAAGCCCCUGUGCCUAGUGGAUAAAGGAUAAUAAACCCCACCUCCCAAUGGGUAUUUGUCUUUUGGAAAGUUGGUUAGGGGCAAUGGUCCUAAUAUGUGGUAUCAAAGCGAGGUUGCAAGUUCAAAAUCUGACGGGCCCCCAGAGUGUUAAAAAGAAAAAUAUCACUGGGGAGAGGAAUUGUUGUGCAAGAUUUUAGCGCACAUUUGGUGAGACCCAAGGAGAAGUUGGUAGUCGAAGAGGACUCAG
This 306-nucleotide long non-coding RNA is filed under the name Elaeis guineensis (African oil palm). RNAcentral describes it as "long non-coding RNA (EGUI_LNC062736)". Lineage: Eukaryota; Viridiplantae; Streptophyta; Magnoliopsida; Arecales; Arecaceae. The record is from RNAcentral.